RNAcentral lists this small RNA (2038 nucleotides) under Histoplasma capsulatum var. duboisii H88. Its description in RNAcentral is "Histoplasma capsulatum H88 hypothetical RNA". The record is from RNAcentral. Lineage: Eukaryota; Fungi; Ascomycota; Eurotiomycetes; Onygenales; Ajellomycetaceae.
CACCCCAAAACUCCAACCCUGAAAAGUGGCCCAUUAUCAGGCUUCAGGUUCCCAACCUCCUAAUCUCCAUCUUAACACCCUCAACCUCCUUGACCAGAGCUCCAUACCUCCUUGCAAUCUCCACCAUUGCUCCUGGCUUCCCUGAAGCAUCAUCACCACCACCCUCGCCACCUUUACCUUCCACAACACCUGCAGCUUCUCGUUUUCCCAUUUCCCCCAUAUCCGCCCGCUCGUACGCCUCGAGCUCUAACAACGCCUGUUUCCUCCUCUCCUCCAACCGCAGACGCGUAUCGCCCAGAUGAUCGCGGUAACGCGUUAGCGCAGCUGUGGUUUCCGGCGUGUAGAUUGCAGAGAGCAUUUCGUGUCUCAUGAUACUACAUAUAAUAAAAACAAAUUUAGCUUUUCCACCCCUUGAACAUGUGCGGUUUUAAUGCAAAAUGAAGAAGAACAAAGUGAAAAGGAAAUAGCAUACCAAACCUUCCCUUCAACCCCCUCCAACACGACUGCCACAUGGUCCGCUCUCGCUUUCACCCCGCGCGCCAAAACGCCGUGCUUGGUCCGCUCAAGGAUAUGUAUCACGCGCUCCAUCACUUCCGCAUGGGCCGCCAAUACAGCUGCGGCCGUGACUGUCAUUUUGUUCCGGGCAGUGGGGAGGUCGUGCGAUUGGAUUGUACGGAGGGUGCGCAAGCGGCUGGAGAGCUGGGAUGGGAGGGAUAUAUCGGUUGGGGAGGGUUUGAGGGAGAGGGGGCGGAGACGGUUACUGGGGCGUGGUUGGGUAUUUUUGCUCUUGUUGGUUGCGAUGCGGGCGGAGGAGGAAAAGGAGGUGGUGUUUGUGGCGGUUUGGUAGUUGUGUCUGUCAUUGUUGCUGCUGUUGUUGACAGGGGGUGAGGCGUUGGCAAGGGUUUUUAGAUGAGUGAGGUCCGCGGCGAGGAUGGCGGUGAUGCUAGGGAUGAGGGAGGGAAUUGCCGAGUGGAACUUUUUCAGAUCUGGGGAGAGAAGAGAGAGGAGCUCGGAGGUCUCGUCUGGGGAGAUUUGUUUAUUUCCGUUCUCUUUAUUGUUAUUAUUGGGGGAGUGUUGAAGGUAGAGAACGAUGAUGGAAACAAGGUUUCGGAGCUUGAAGUAUCAGAAGCCUCAAAAGUGUCAGUCAAUGAUAUAAUGUAUAUAUUGGUAUUUCUCUAUGCAAAGGAAAAGAUAGCAUUGCCAUCCCCUUAUCCAUAAAUCUUUCCGAAAUGGAGGACUCACCUCGUCAUCUAAACUCCCGUUCCCAUCCCCUACCGCAACCUGCGCAACCACCCUGGUCAAUAUCCGCGCUUUCACCGCCCUUCCCAAGUACUUCUUGAGAUCCUGUUUUCGAAAUCAGUCUAUCGUCAUCAAUGUAUACACGCAUCUCUCAGAAAAUAAGACCCUCCUCAUCAGGCCGCCCGACAUAAAACUUACAGCCUGCACUGCUCUCCGGGACGGAUCGGUGGCAUUGGCGCGUGUGGAGCCAUCGGGGUUUAAGAUGGCCGUUGUCAACUGUUGAUGGAGGGCCUUGAACUGGGGAUUGUUGCUUAGGAUGGCCGGAUCGCAGGGCGAUAUCAUGGUCGGCUAUGGGACGGCUGGAAGGAGUUGAGUUUUUGCAAGUGAUGAAUGUUUUGAAUCCUGCGUGGAAGUUGUGUCGUUCACAACACGCUAGACUCCCUGCUUCAUUCAACCUACGUCGCUCAACCACCGCCUCUUUGCGGGAAAUGAAUUACAGGCUCAUAGAACAAUAUUAUUUUUUCAAUUCUUAUCUGACGAAACAUGCCUUCCCGUACAUCCUUUAAUCACUGGAAAAAAAGGGAUCUUACGGGAUGGGUGGAACAAACCAUCUCAGUUCCACUCAUGGUAAAUAAAAAAAAUAGAACGACCACGAAGGAGGCGAAAUCCGGGGGCUUGUGCUGUGCCCGCGUAUUAUGUGUCUCCUUAUAUUAUGGUUCUCAUCAUCAUGUCUCUUGUUGCUGGAUGAUGGUUUGAUGGUAAAUACGGAGAACAAUGGAUAGAAAGAAAAGCAAAGGAA